Molecule: transfer RNA, 72 nt
Filed under: Caudoviricetes sp.
Lineage: Duplodnaviria; Heunggongvirae; Uroviricota; Caudoviricetes
Description: tRNA-Arg
Rfam family: tRNA
About the family: Transfer RNA (tRNA) molecules are approximately 80 nucleotides in length. Their secondary structure includes four short double-helical elements and three loops (D, anti-codon, and T loops).
Source: RNAcentral
GCCCGUAUAGUUCAAUGGAGAGAACAUGGUUCUUCUAAAGCUAUGAUCUUGGUUCGAUUCCAAGUAUGGGUA